GUCCCUGUAGCGUGAUGGAUAGCGCCUCGGACUUUUAAUCCAAAGGCCGUGGGUUCUAAUACCACCUGGGAUG
This is a non-coding RNA of Trichonephila clavata, 73 nucleotides long. NCBI's taxonomy places the organism in Eukaryota, Metazoa, Arthropoda, Arachnida, Araneae, Nephilidae. The record is from the annotation of a GenBank genome assembly.